GUAGGUGGCAAGCGUUGUCCGGAAUUAUUGGGCGUAAAGCGCGCGCAGGCGGUUCUUUAAGUCUGAUGUGAAAGCCCACGGCUCAACCGUGGAGGGUCAUUGGAAACUGGAGAACUUGAGUACAGAAGAGGAAAGCGGAAUCCCACGUGUAGCGGUGAAAUGCGUAGAGAUGUGGAGGAACACCAGUGGCGAAGGCGGCUUUCUGGUCUGUAACUGACGCUGAGGCGCGAAAGCGUGGGGAGCAAACAGGAUUAGAUACCCUGGUAGUCCACGCCGUAAACGAUGAGUGCUAAGUGUUAGGGGGGUUUUCCGCCCCCCUUAGUGCUGCAGCUAACGCAUUAAGCACUCCGCCUGGGAGUACGGCCGUAAGGCUG
This 374-nucleotide ribosomal RNA is filed under the name uncultured organism. RNAcentral's name for it is "partial 16S ribosomal RNA". It matches the Rfam family "Bacterial small subunit ribosomal RNA", at positions 527 to 896 of the family's 1533-position model. The record is from RNAcentral.